Molecule: ribosomal RNA, 460 nt
Filed under: uncultured bacterium
Lineage: Bacteria
Description: partial 16S ribosomal RNA
Rfam family: Bacterial small subunit ribosomal RNA
Source: RNAcentral
CCUACGGGGGGCAGCAGUGAGGAAUAUUGGUCAAUGGGCGCGAGCCUGAACCAGCCAAGUCGCGUGAAGGAUGAAUGCCCUACGGGUUGUAAACUUCUUUUAUAAAGGAAUAAAGUGCGGCACGUGUUCCUUUUUGUAUGUACUAUAUGAAUAAGGAUCGGCUAACUCCGUGCCAGCAGCCGCGGUAAUACGGAGGAUCCGAGCGUUAUCCGGAUUUAUUGGGUUUAAAGGGUGCGUAGAUGGGUUGUUAAGUCAGUUGUGAAAGUUUGUGGCUCAACCGUAAAAUUGCAGUUGAUACUGGCAGCCUUGAGUACAGUUGAGGUAGGCGGAAUGCGUGGUGUAGCGGUGAAAUGCUUAGAUAUCACGAAGAACUCCGAUUGCGAAGGCAGCUUACUAAAAUGCCACUGACAUUGAUGCUCGAAAGUGUGGGUAUCAAACAGGAUUAGAUACCCUUGUAGUC